Molecule: ribosomal RNA, 391 nt
Filed under: uncultured bacterium
Lineage: Bacteria
Description: bacterial SSU rRNA
Rfam family: Bacterial small subunit ribosomal RNA
Source: RNAcentral
GACGAACGCUGGCGGCGUGCUUAACACAUGCAAGUCGAGCGACUGCAUUCUUUUCGGAGGGUGUAUGGAGCGGCGAACGGGUGAGUAACACGUGAGUAAUCUGCCUUUGGCUUGGGAAUAACUUCGGGAAAUCGGGGCUAAUGCCUGAUGUUUACUGUCUGCUGCAUGGUGGGUGGUGGAAAGAUUUUUUGGCCAGGGAUGAGCUCGCGGUCUAUCAGCUGUUGGUGGGGUAAUGGCUUACCAAGGCUUUGACGGGUAGCCGGCCUGAGAGGGUGUUCGGCCACACUGGGACUGAGACACGGCCCAGACUCCUACGGGAGGCAGCAGUGGGGAAUAUUGGGCAAUGGGCGCAAGCCUGACCCAGCGACGCCGCGUGGGUGAUGAAGGCCUC